AGAGUUUGAUCAUGGCUCAGGAUGAACGCUGGCGGCGUGCUUAACACAUGCAAGUCGAACGAACCUUCGGGUUAGUGGCGGACGGGUGAGUAACGCGUGGGAAUCUGCCCUCAGGAGGGGGAUAACGACUGGAAACGGUCGCUAAUACCCCAUAUGCCGAGAGGUGAAAUGAAUUUCGCCUGAGGAUGAGCCCGCGUCUGAUUAGCUAGUUGGUGGGGUAAGGGCCCACCAAGGCGACGAUCAGUAGCUGGUCUGAGAGGAUGAUCAGCCACACUGGGACUGAGACACGGCCCAGACUCCUACGGGAGGCAGCAGUGGGGAAUUUUCCGCAAUGGGCGAAAGCUUGACGGAGCAACGCCGCGUGAGGGAUGAAGGCCUCUGGGCUGUAAACCUCUUUUCUCAAGGAAGAAGAUCUGACGGUACUUGAGGAAUAAGCCACGGCUAAUUCCGUGCCAGCAGCCGCGGUAAUACGGGAGUGGCAAGCGUUAUCCGGAAUUAUUGGGCGUAAAGCGUCCGCAGGUGGCUCUGUAAGUCUGUCGUUAAAGCGUGGAGCUUAACUCCAUUUCAGCGGUGGAAACUACAGAGCUUGAGUGUGGUAGGGGCGGAGGGAAUUCCCGGUGUAGCGGUGAAAUGCGUAGAUAUCGGGAAGAACACCAGUGGCGAAGGCGCUCUGCUGGGCCAUAACUGACACUCAUGAACGAAAGCCAGGGGAGCGAAAGGGAUUAGAUACCCCUGUAGUCCUGGCCGUAAACGAUGAACACUAGGCGUCGGGGGAAUCGACCCCCUCGGUGUCGUAGCCAACGCGUUAAGUGUUCCGCCUGGGGAGUACGCACGCAAGUGUGAAACUCAAAGGAAUUGACGGGGGCCCGCACAAGCGGUGGAGUAUGUGGUUUAAUUCGAUGCAACGCGAAGAACCUUACCAGGGUUUGACAUCCUGCGAACCCCUGAGAAAUCGGGGGGUGCCUUCGGGAACGCAGAGACAGGUGGUGCAUGGCUGUCGUCAGCUCGUGUCGUGAGAUGUUGGGUUAAGUCCCGCAACGAGCGCAACCCACGUCUUUAGUUGCCAGCAUUCAGUUGGGCACUCUAGAGAGACCGCCGGUGAUAAAUCGGAGGAAGGUGUGGAUGACGUCAAGUCAUCAUGCCCCUUACAUCCUGGGCUACACACGUACUACAAUGCUACGGACAAAGGGCAGCGAACUCGCGAGGGCAAGCAAAUCCCAUAAACCGUGGCUCAGUUCAGAUCGUAGGCUGCAACUCGCCUACGUGAAGGAGGAAUCGCUAGUAAUCGCAGGUCAGCAUACUGCGGUGAAUACGUUCCCGGGCCUUGUACACACCGCCCGUCACACCAUGGAAGUUAGCCACGCCCGAAGUCGUUACUCCAACCCUUGUGGAGGAGGAUGCCGAAGGUGGGGCUGAUGACUGGGGUGAAGUCGUAACAAGGUAACC
RNAcentral lists this ribosomal RNA (1446 nucleotides) under uncultured bacterium. Its description in RNAcentral is "bacterial SSU rRNA". It matches the Rfam family "Bacterial small subunit ribosomal RNA". The record is from RNAcentral.